CUUUUAUUUGAAUUGCGGACUUUAUCUGAAUAUUCACAUCUUAUUUUAAUAUUAUUUAUUUUAAAGUUAUGAUUCUUCAUUUAGGCAGUUGGUACUCAUCAGAAACGAUUUGAAAGUAGAUAAUAACAGGACAGUUUGAAACUGUUCAUGAAGAGACUGUUAUCUGGUGCAUGAUUUAUGAAAAUGCUUUCUUUAUUUCCCCAGCCUAGUAUUAGAUUCUUGCUUAAGAGAAAACAGCUUGGUUCCAAUUACCAAUAUGAAGCUGACUUUGGGAUCUGUAAUUUAUGAGCUGCCAUGGAAACAAGUCACAUGUCUCCCUUCACCACAGGAGAUCCAGAGAUUUCAUUUGAAGCCUAUAGAAUUUACCUCAAAUUGGUUUCAAAGACAACUGCUAAGAUUGAAAAAAAAUAUAAUCACCAGCCCUCAGUGAAAACAUCCUAAGUCCCCAGAACUAACAUCAAAGAAGCACCAUUCUAUAGUUUUCCUGCCAUCUAGAGUGUGUUGAGAAGGUGCCAGGAUGAACUGUUGACAGGCUUUGUCGGGUUUAGGUUGUUGCCUUGUAGAGCAUGAUGCCAAAGAGUGACUGACUGCCUAGAAUCCCGGCAGAGCAGGACGGUAAAAUAAGCCUAACCAAAAACUGAGUAUAAAAAGAGAGGAAAAGGUGUGACUUCAAGAGAAAAUGCUGCCAUGGAGACAGAUCAAACUUUUGAAAAGGAAAAGAAGCACUACAAAGGGAGAAAAAGAAAAAUGAACAGAUUGCUGGGAGAAUUAUUCUAGAACUGAACAUAUCUGAAGUGUCAGGCAACACCUCUCUAAAAAUGCACUUGGAAUGCAGCCAUCACAUUUCAACACUAGACUGUUUUCAAGUGUUAUGAAAGACAUGUGAGAUUUGGUGUCAAUUCUACCCUUGGAAUUCAGAAAGAAAUCAGGUUAAGGAAAAGAUGCUAAGAAAUUAGAAUCGUUUUUUUUUUUUUUUUUUAAAGCAGGGAAUGAAGACAUAACUUAAAGCAUCAUUGUUCCCAAACUAAGUUGAAAUCAAAGCCCU
This 1045-nucleotide long non-coding RNA is filed under the name Fukomys damarensis (Damara mole-rat). RNAcentral's name for it is "lncRNA (ENSFDAG00000024680.1)". Lineage: Eukaryota; Metazoa; Chordata; Mammalia; Rodentia; Bathyergidae. The record is from RNAcentral.